This 1205-nucleotide ribosomal RNA is filed under the name uncultured organism. Its description in RNAcentral is "bacterial SSU rRNA". It matches the Rfam family "Bacterial small subunit ribosomal RNA", at positions 23 to 1255 of the family's 1533-position model. The record is from RNAcentral.
CUCAGGACGAACGCUGGCGGCGUGCCUAAUACAUGCAAGUCGAACGAGAACCUUGGAUUCGUCUGGGGGGGAGAGUGGCGAACUGGUGAGUAACACGUGGGUGACCUGCCCCGAAGACGGGGAUAACCGUUGGAAACGACGGCUAAUACCCGAUAUACUCGGUGAUUCGGUUCAUCGAGUAAAGGCUCCGGUGCUUCGGGAUGGGCCUGCGGCCUAUCAGCUAGUUGGUGGGGUAAUGGCCCACCAAGGCGAAGACGGGUAGGGGGCGUGAGAGCGCGGNCCCCCACACUGGCACUGAGAUACGGGCCAGACUUCUACGGAAGGCAGCAGUCGGGAAUAUUGCACAAUCGGCGAAAGCCGGAUGCAGCGACGCCGCGUGGGCGAUGAAGGCCUUCGGGUUGUAAAGCCCUUUUAUGGGGGAAGAGACAAGGACGGUACCCCAAGAAUAAGCGUCGGCUAACUACGUGCCAGCAGCCGCGGUAAAACGUAGGACGCAAGCGUUAUCCGGAUUUACUGGGCGUAAAGAGCGUUGAGGCGGUUCCGUAAGUUGGGCGUGAAAGCCCCGGGCUUAACUCGGGGAGGUCGUUCAAUACUGCGGGACUUGAGGGCAGCAGAGGGAGGCGGAAUUCCCGGUGUAGCGGUGAAAUGCGUAGAUAUCGGGAGGAACACCAGUGGCGAAGGCGGCCUCCUGGGCUGUUUCUGACGCUGAAGGCGAAAGCUAGGGGAGCGAACGGGAUUAGAAACCCCGGUAGUCCUAGCCGUAAACGAUGGAUGCUGGGUGUGGGGGGUAUAGAUCCCCUCCGUGCCGAAGCUAACGCGUUAAGCAUCCCGCCUGGGGAUUACGGCCGCAAGGCUUAAACUCAAACGAAUUGACGGUGGCCCGUACAAGCAGCGGAGCGUGUGCUUUACUUCGAUGCUACACGAAGAACCUUACCUGGGCUUGACCUGUCGGGUAGUAGUGAAGCGCAAGCGGAACGACCCCUUCGGGGAGCCUACACAGGGUGCUGCAUGGCUGUCGUCAGUUCGUGCCGUGAGGUGUCGGGUUAAGUCCCGUAACGAACGCAACCCUUGCCCUUAGUUACAUGUGUCUAAGGGGACUGCCCGGGACAACUGGGAGGGAGGNUGGGGAUGACGUCAAGUCAGCAUGGCCUUUAUGUCCAGGGCUACACACACGCUACAAUGGCCGGUACAAUGGGUCGCCAAGC